RNAcentral lists this ribosomal RNA (253 nucleotides) under uncultured bacterium. Its description in RNAcentral is "partial 16S ribosomal RNA". It matches the Rfam family "Bacterial small subunit ribosomal RNA", at positions 524 to 776 of the family's 1533-position model. The record is from RNAcentral.
GACAGAGGUGCCAAGCGUUAGGCGGAAUCACUGGGCUUAAAGCGUGUGUAGGCGGAUUCCUAAGUACCUUGUGAAAUCCCACGGCUCAACCGUGGAACUGCUCGGUAUACUGGGUAUCUUGAGCCACUUAGGGGCGACCGGAACAAAUGGUGGAGCGGUGAAAUGCGCAGAUAUCAGGAGGAACACCGAUGGCGAAGGCAGGUCUCUGGGCAUUAACUGACGCUGAGGAGCGAAAGCAUGGGGAGCGAACAGG